Molecule: long non-coding RNA, 558 nt
Filed under: Anas platyrhynchos platyrhynchos (common mallard)
Lineage: Eukaryota; Metazoa; Chordata; Aves; Anseriformes; Anatidae
Description: lncRNA (ENSAPLG00000027413.1)
Source: RNAcentral
CAAACCUGCACAGAUUGUUUAUAAUGCAAAAUGUUAGGUAUCCUAAAUACAGUGGAAAGGACCUGAAUGAUCAUGCCUCACACUGCUUUUUAUGCUUGUUUCUUAACCAACGUUUAUGUACUUCAAGCAAAAGUGGCCUCCUCCGCCUGCUUCACCCAACAGUAAUGAGUUUGGUUUAUCAGAUUCUGGGGAUCCCACUUGCCCCGCACACCAUAAAAAACAUCUAAUUUGGUGGUCCUGAUGAAACGUGCUUUCUGUUUCAUGUUCCCCAGCGAGAUAAGGCGGCUAUCGGGGCAGGAAGCCUUCUUGGAAAUCACCGUGGGCUUGGCACUGCCGUGCAUCGAGGUAGCCAUGGAAACCUGCUCUCAAAGCCGGCGCCGGCUGAUAAGAGCCUCGAGUGCCACCGGCUGUGUCCGGCCGGGAGAAGGUGAGCAGGAAAGGAAGAAAGGGCGAAUACAAGAGGGCUGAGAGAGCAGAAAGGAACUGCUAAGUUUUGGAACAGGACAGCAACUGUGAUGGAGCAAUAAACAAAAUGUUAAAGUAAAUGAGAAUGACUGA